GUAAGAGAAUGGAAACGGUCAUACAACAAUGUCGACAGUAAAUAUGUAAAAAAAAAAACCCAAAGAAAUACGUUUAGGACCAUAUUUUUAUUAUGAAUAACUAUUUCUGCAUUACUGGAAAAAUAUUGUAAAUUAAUACUAGUAUUUUUUGACUGCCACUGGUUUUGGCAAUUUUGCAUUACAUUUAAAAUGGAAGUUAUAUUUGCUUCCACAUUUAUUCUUCUAAAUAUUCUUUUUCAUAUACUAGACCACGAAUUUGACUGCUUUUCCCAAAACAGGUUCACUAAUAUAGCACAGCUGAUUGAUCAAUACAGUCUACAUGUUCACAGGUUUCGAGAAGAUUGCACAUUCCAACAAGGAAAAAAAAUAUGAAAUAAAAAGACACGGGGAAAUUCUUCAUUUAGCCGUAUCACAAAAACUAAAGAGUGGGAAACGGUAUCUCUGUAUUGGGGGUUCUGGACCCGGGAGAGGAGAGUGGGGGGACAAUAGGAAUGGAAUGAGAAGGUGGAGCUGUGAGCAAUAACAACAACAUCAGCCAGAGAAUGGUACAUAUAGACGGGAAGGAGAUCGUGGAGUGGAAGUUUAAUCUUGGAGGAGAGUGCAAGGCAAAAGGAGGAGCGCGUAGUUCACUUUAGUGUGUGUACGUGCAACCGGAAUUGGGCGCGCGCUUUGUUAUUGCUUUAAGCGGUACAGUAAAAACUUCCUAAGCGAGCUUUCUGUGUACACCUUCGAGUGCGUGUAUGUGUAUAAAGUUCAGUAUUUGUGGAUGUGGAAGGUGCCAAAUGCCCCAUGCACGACAUCGGCUUGCAUAGAAUUCAGACGCACACAAAGAACAUAUUUAUAUAUCGAUACCGCCAAGGGGCCGGGCGGGUGGUAUGGGGUAUGAGUACUGCUGGUACAUAUUCUGUAUCUACAACUUACAAGAAUAAGAAGAGUCAGAGGUAACAGCAGCAGCAAACGCAACAAUGCAAAGGUGGUGGUGCGGAUACGGUGGUGGUGGUGCAGCCACAGAGAGAAUCGGAGAGAGCCGCAUUUGUUGUUGAGGCGCAGUAUAUGGCUGAUUUUUUGUUCAAAAAGGUAUUUCACCCGUUUGGGGCCCAACACACACACAUACGCGGACGCAGCAAGCAUUUGGCGGGCAUUCGGGAGAGAGAGAGCGCCAGAAAUUGAGAGAGCAAACGCUGCGCAGACCAAAGAGUGAGCAAAUAUUAGGUGAAUGGAAACCGCCUAGAGGAUCAUCCUGCUCCAACUAAUUGAAACACCCUAUCGAACCAACAGCUGCCCCCUUUUAGCAUUUGUAAACAAAUAUUGGAGCUCAGUACAGCCGCACAAAAGCUUCAGCCCUCUUUCACUCUCCUGUCUCUGCCACCACCAACUAUCCUUUAAUAAAAGAAGCAUGAAGAAGCACGGCAAACGUUUUGUGUAAAUUCAAACCGAAUGAAAAAAAACAGGCGGAGCAAGAACAACAAACGACGGAUGGGAUGGGGAGCAAGAAAUAGAGGAGCAGGAGGAAGAUGUGAACAUAAAGAGGGCCACAAAAUGAUGCUCUCAUUGGGGAGCCAUUUAAAUGCACACUCACACUACACUUGGCUGCUCUCGCUAGUACAUGCGAAUGGCGCAUCAAAGCAAAAGUCGAGAUAAGCGCACGAACUGAGCAAAGAACGAAUCAACGAACGAAAAUAAAACGACACUACGUUGAAAAAAUACAGUCAGUUCAUAAGCGAACCAAAAGCAAUGGUUCAAAGCGUGUGUAUGUGUGUGGCUCUCCUCUCCACCCUCGUUCAAGUGUGUGUGAGGAGAGCAGAAACAGAAGAGGCAGCAGCAGCAACACAAACAACAACCACGUCCCCGUCCGUCGACGACUUUUUGUCUGUGCGCCUUCUAUAUGUAUUCGCUAUGCCAUUGUUGUGUGUGUGAGUUUGUGCGUGCGUGUGUAUAUAAACCAAUUGAAAUUGACCUAACCUAAAAAUGUUGUAUUUUUCACAAGUUUUUAGUGGCACGAACGAGAAUAUUGUUUGAAUCCGAGUCCGCGCUCCAAGUGCACUUGAAGGAUAAUGCUACUCUGCACUUUCCACGCCCCUCCAACCGCCCACCGCCCAUAUUACACUUACAUCAGCAAUAAGCAAUAAGCAGUUAGCUUCGUCGGUUGAUAUUCGGCUGUGUGUAUGUAUAUUC
Long non-coding RNA from Drosophila yakuba, 2175 nucleotides. RefSeq lists it as uncharacterized. The record is from RefSeq and is a predicted model, not a curated record. NCBI's taxonomy places the organism in Eukaryota, Metazoa, Arthropoda, Insecta, Diptera, Drosophilidae. The transcript has 2 exons.